Molecule: ribosomal RNA, 460 nt
Filed under: uncultured bacterium
Lineage: Bacteria
Description: partial 16S ribosomal RNA
Rfam family: Bacterial small subunit ribosomal RNA
Source: RNAcentral
CCUACGGGUGGCAGCAGUGAGGAAUAUUGGUCACUGGGCGCGAGCCUGAACCAGCCAAGUAGCGUGAAGGAUGACUGCCCUAUGGGUUGUAAACUUCUUUUAUAAAGGAAUAAAGUGAGGCACGUGUGCCUUUUUGUAUGUACUUUAUGAAUAAGGAUCGGCUAACUCCGUGCCAGCAGCCGCGGUAAUACGUAGGUGGCGAGCGUUGUCCGGAGUUACUGGGUGUAAAGGGUGCGCAGGCGGGAAGCCAAGUCAGCUGUGAAACUUACGGGCUUAACCUGUAGACUGCAGUUGAAAAUGGUUGUCUUGAGUGAAGUAGAGGUUGGCGGAAUGCCGGGUGUAGCGGUGAAAUGCGUAGAUAUGCGGAGGAACACCGGUGGCGAAGGCGGCCAACUAGGCUUUAACUGACGCUGAGGCACGAAAGUGUGGGGAGCAAACAGGAUUAGAUACCCUGGUAGUC